GAUGAACGCAGGCGGCGUGCCUAAUACAUGCAAGUCGAGCGAACGGACGAGAAGCUUGCUUCUCUGAUGUUAGCGGCGGACGGGUGAGUAACACGUGGAUAACCUACCUAUAAGACUGGGAUAACUUCGGGAAACCGUAGCUAAUACCGGAUAAUAUUUUGAACCGCAUGGUUCAAAAGUGAAAGACGGUCUUGCUGUCACUUAUAGAUGGAUCCGCGCUGCAUUAGCUAGUUGGUAAGGUAACGGCUUACCAAGGCAACGAUGCAUAGCCGACCUGAGAGGGUGAUCGGCCACACUGGAACUGAGACACGGUCCAGACUCCUACGGGAGGCAGCAGUAGGGAAUCUUCCGCAAAGGGCGAAAGCCUGACGGAGCAACGACGCGUGAGUGAUGAAGGUCUUCGGAUCGUAAAACUCUGUUAUUAGGGAAGAACAUAUGUGUAAGUAACUGUGCACAUCUUGACGGUACCUAAUCAGAAAGCCACGGCUAACUACGUG
Molecule: ribosomal RNA, 497 nt
Filed under: uncultured bacterium
Lineage: Bacteria
Description: partial 16S ribosomal RNA
Rfam family: Bacterial small subunit ribosomal RNA
Source: RNAcentral